This 492-nucleotide ribosomal RNA is filed under the name uncultured bacterium. RNAcentral's name for it is "partial 16S ribosomal RNA". It matches the Rfam family "Bacterial small subunit ribosomal RNA", at positions 29 to 507 of the family's 1533-position model. The record is from RNAcentral.
AGUGAACGCUGGCGGUAGGCCUAACACAUGCAAGUCGAACGGCAGCACAGUAAGGGCUUGCUCUUACGGGUGGCGAGUGGCGGACGGGUGAGGAAUACAUCGGAAUCUACUUUUUCGUGGGGGAUAACGUAGGGAAACUUACGCUAAUACCGCAUACGACCUACGGGUGAAAGCAGGGGAUCUUCGGACCUUGCGCGAUUGAAUGAGCCGAUGUCGGAUUAGCUAGUUGGCGGGGUAAAGGCCCACCAAGGCGACGAUCCGUAGCUGGUCUGAGAGGAUGAUAAGCCACACUGGAACUGAGACACGGUCCAGACUCCUACGGGAGGCAGCAGUGGGGAAUAUUGGACAAUGGGCGCAAGCCUGAUCCAGCCAUACCGCGUGGGUGAAGAAGGCCUUCGGGUUGUAAAGCCCUUUUGUUGGGAAAGAAAAGCAGCAGGUUAAUACCCCGCUGUUCUGACGGUACCCAAAGAAUAAGCACCGGCUAACUUCGUG